Molecule: ribosomal RNA, 448 nt
Filed under: uncultured bacterium
Lineage: Bacteria
Description: bacterial SSU rRNA
Rfam family: Bacterial small subunit ribosomal RNA
Source: RNAcentral
UGGGGAAUCUUGCGCAAUGGGCGAAAGCCUGACGCAGCAACGCCGCGUGCGGGAAGAAGGCCUUCGGGUUGUAAACCGCUUUCAGCAGGGAAGAGGGCGAGCAGGUUAAUAGCCUGUCAGCUGACGGUACCUGCAGAAGAAGGCCCGGCUAACUACGUGCCAGCAGCCGCGGUAAUACGUAGGGGCCGAGCGUUGUCCGGAAUCAUUGGGCGUAAAGAGCGUGUAGGCGGCUACUUAAGUCCUGCGUGAAAUCUCGGGGCUCAACCCCGAGCGGUCGUGGGAAACUGGGUGGCUAGAGUGCGGGAGAGGAGAGUGGAAUUCCUGGUGUAGCGGUGGAAUGCGCAGAUAUCAGGAAGAACACCCGUGGCGAAGGCGGCUCUCUGGAACGCAACUGACGCUGAGACGCGAAAGCGUGGGGAGCAAACAGGAUUAGAUACCCCCGUAGUCC